GGUUAGUAGUAAUAUGGAUCCCAGAAUAGCUGGGACAGGCACGCCUUUAAGAUUUAUUAGAUGGAACAUCAGAGAUAUGGGAGACGCACCUACGUAUUAAAGAUCAUCAAAGGUUACACUGCCUUUGGAGCUUGGUGCAUUCAUAAUACUUCAAAGAGAUGGAGGGAAAUAUUUCAAAGGCUUUGAACUUUGACAGCUAACAGAAGAAAAAUGAAAAAAAAAGGUGUGUGAAAUUUAUGAUUAUUUAUGACUCUGCCUGACUAUUAUGGAACAAUAUUAUAAAUAUUGUUUAUGUUUAUAGGGGAGAUUGUUUUUGCAAAUGAAGAGCUUUGUCAAGAAAUGGGGUCUAUUUCUCAUGCAGGUCUUUGUAUAAGCAUAUUUAUAUAUGCAUAUAUUACUGGAUUAUUGUAAUAAAUGUUCACUUUAAAUGUAAUGAUUAAACUCUUUUCACAGUGUACUGUUGCACUGAAGUCAGAUAUAUACUCACCGGCCCGUUUAUUGGGAACAUAUGUACACCUAUUCAUUCUUGCAUUUAUCCAAUCAGCCAUGUGGCAGCAGUGCAGUGUAUAACAUCAUGUAGAUACAGGUCAAGCAUUUUGGUUAAUGUACACAUUAAACAACAAAAUGGGGAAAAUAUGUGAUAUCAACAAAAACAUCCAAGGAGCAGCAGCUUUGUGGGCGGAAACGCCUUUGAACCGAGGAAGCAGGAAGCAGUGUCCUUCGAGCUCAUGUUAUUCUUCUAUUUUCUAUACUUUAAAAUUAUAUAUAUAUAUAUAUAUAU
Ictalurus punctatus (channel catfish) is the source of this 781-nucleotide long non-coding RNA. The record is from Ensembl. NCBI's taxonomy places the organism in Eukaryota, Metazoa, Chordata, Actinopteri, Siluriformes, Ictaluridae.